This 253-nucleotide ribosomal RNA is filed under the name uncultured bacterium. RNAcentral's name for it is "partial 16S ribosomal RNA". It matches the Rfam family "Bacterial small subunit ribosomal RNA", at positions 524 to 776 of the family's 1533-position model. The record is from RNAcentral.
UACGUAGGUGGCAAGCGUUGUCCGGAUUUACUGGGCGUAAAGGAUGCGUAGGCGGACAUUUAAGUCAGCUGUGAAAUACCCGAGCUUAACUUGGGUGCUGCAUUUGAAACUGGGUGUCUAGAGUGCAGGAGAGGUAAGUGGAAUUCCUAGUGUAGCGGUGAAAUGCGUAGAGAUUAGGAAGAACACCAGUGGCGAAGGCGACUUACUGGACUGUAACUGACGCUGAGGCAUGAAAGCGUGGGGAGCAAACAGG